RNAcentral lists this ribosomal RNA (452 nucleotides) under uncultured bacterium. RNAcentral describes it as "bacterial SSU rRNA". It matches the Rfam family "Bacterial small subunit ribosomal RNA", at positions 341 to 786 of the family's 1533-position model. The record is from RNAcentral.
UCGGGAGGCAGCAGUGGGGAAUAUUGCACAAUGGGCGCAAGCCUGAUGCAGCCAUGCCGCGUGUAUGAAAAAGGCCUUCGGGUUGUAAAGUACUUUCAGUCGUGAGGAAGGUGUUAAGGUUAAUAACCUUAGCAAUUGACGUUAGCGACAGAAGAAGCACCGGCUAACUCCGUGCCAGCAGCCGCGGUAAUACGGAGGGUGCGAGCGUUAAUCGGAAUUACUGGGCGUAAAGGGCACGCAGGCGGUUAAUUAAGUUGGAUGUGAAAUCCCCGGGCUUAACCUGGGAAUGGCAUUCAAGACUGGUUAGCUAGAGUCUUGUAGAGGGGGUAGAAUUCCAUGUGUAGCGGUGAAAUGCGUAGAGAUGUGGAGGAAUACCGGUGGCGAAGGCGGCCCCUGGACAAAGACUGACGCUCAUGUGCGAAAGCGUGGGGAGCAAACAGGGAUUAGAUACC